AUGGGAGAUGCUGACCCGGUGACCAAUGACCUGUGUCUGACAUUGUCUUUCUGCCCAGGGGUGAGCUGCCUACAGCAGGUGGAGCAGAGUCCUCAGUCUCUGAAGAUCCAGCAGGGAGAGAGGACCAUGAUCAACUGCAGUUACACAGAGGCUACUAAUCAAGCGCUGCAUUGGUUCAGGCAGGAUCCUGAGGAAGGCCUCACCUCUCUAUUUUACAUAACUUCAGGGGAGAAGCAGAAUGGAAGAUUCAGAUGCAUGUACAGCAGGACGGAGCGCCAUAGCUCUCUGCACCUCACUGAAGCUCAGCCUGAAGACUCAGCCACCUACCUCUGUGCUGUGGAGGCACAGUGA
Dromiciops gliroides (monito del monte) is the source of this 351-nucleotide non-coding RNA. The record is from the annotation of a RefSeq genome assembly. NCBI's taxonomy places the organism in Eukaryota, Metazoa, Chordata, Mammalia, Microbiotheria, Microbiotheriidae.